This is a long non-coding RNA of Hylaeus volcanicus, 491 nucleotides long. RefSeq lists it as uncharacterized. The transcript is spliced from 3 exons. Lineage: Eukaryota; Metazoa; Arthropoda; Insecta; Hymenoptera; Colletidae. The record is from RefSeq and is a predicted model, not a curated record.
ACUGCGUCUGCACCUGAACGCCUAUCGCGACUUGGUUCUAAUGGCCUGCUCGUUUACGUCUAUUACGAGCGUCUCUAAUUGACGCCUAUGUAUUCCGAUUGCCAUCUCACAGUAAAUGCUCAAGACGCGUUGGCGUUAUCGGGCUUUAUCCAGCGACGAGCUUGCACCGCUUGCAAAGUUACAUUUUCGAUGCAGCGAUUCGAAAGGAAAAUUUCCUCUGCGAAAUUACAGGUGCUUUUCCAGUCAGGUGUUCAAGCUGGAGAUCGAUGGAAAGAGUCUGUUAAUUAGGUAUAAGGCGUAAUUAUGCUUUGAUCGAUGCUGAGAAGAAGAAUACAGCGACAGGAUAUCGAGGAGCUUAUUGCAGAACCUUUGUAAAUUCCGGACUAAACAUCUGUAGUUUGCACGAUAAAUCAAAGCUGACCACUAGGAUCGUAGGAAAGCGUCGAUGCUACGUGACGCACAAUGCAAGCUCGCGGUGAGCGUAAUAGGUG